CCUGUAUUUGUGUUUUCUCCACUUUCUUUUGCCAAUGUCUAUAAAUGCCAAUCUCCGUGACAAAAAUGUAUGUUGAAGAAGUCUUGAAAAGCCUUAACAGAUUGACUGAACGUGGUGGCACAUGGAAAAUGCCACUCACCAUGCCAUCUGACUUCAGUGGAAGUGGGUUCCAGUGGCCGUGCAGUCCUUUCACCAACCACCCUAACGGUUUUGAGACAAGGUCUCACUAUGCAGCCAAGGAUGACUACAUCAUCUUCCACCAUUGGCUUUCCAUAUGCUGGUGUUGCAGAUGUACCUCAAACAAAGCAUAGUGAUAAAACCAAAACAGGAGUUGUAUGCUGGAGAGUGGGAGUGAUGGAGAAAGCAGCAUGGGAGAAAGGCCUAUUUG
Molecule: long non-coding RNA, 388 nt
Organism: Mus musculus (house mouse)
Lineage: Eukaryota; Metazoa; Chordata; Mammalia; Rodentia; Muridae
Product: predicted gene, 39376
Exons: 3
Source: RefSeq, a predicted model, not a curated record